UCCCCCUGCACCCGCUGUGGUCGUCAAGCAGGAGCCUGGGUGUGAGGUAGACGUGCGGCCUGCGGGCUUAAUUAUGGAAUCUCCGCCACCAAGGAGACGGAAGGUAACGGUCAAGAAAGAGGCAGAGGCAACCCGUGCGAUAGGAGGGAGGAAGCGAAAGACACAGGCCAAGGUCAAGGCGGAAGGGGCAGCUGAGACACUGACUGCU
RNAcentral lists this non-coding RNA (208 nucleotides) under Paraphysomonas imperforata. The record is from RNAcentral. Lineage: Eukaryota; Chrysophyceae; Chromulinales; Paraphysomonadaceae.